Molecule: ribosomal RNA, 468 nt
Filed under: uncultured bacterium
Lineage: Bacteria
Description: partial 16S ribosomal RNA
Rfam family: Bacterial small subunit ribosomal RNA
Source: RNAcentral
GACGAACGCUGGCGGCGUGCUUAACACAUGCAAGUCGAACGGAAAGGCCCUGCUUUUGUGGGGUGCUCGAGUGGCGAACGGGUGAGUAACACGUGAGUAACCUGCCCUUGACUAUGGGAUCACUUCAGGAAACUGGGGCUAAUACCGGAUAGGAGCUCCCGCUGCAUGGUGGGGGUUGGAAAGUUUCGGCGGUUGGGGAUGGACUCGCGGCUUAUCAGCUUGUUGGUGGGGUAGUGGCUUACCAAGGCGUUGACGGGUAGCCGACCUGAGAGGGUGACCGGCCUCAUUGGGACUGGGAGACGGCCCAGACUCCUACCGGAGGCAGCAGUGGGGAAUAUUGCCCUAGGGGCGGAAGCCAGAUGCAGCAACGCCGCGUGAGGGAUGACGCUCUUCGGGUUGUAAUCGGCUUGCGCCUGUGACGAAGCGUGAGUGACGGUAAUGGGUAAAGAAGCACCGGCUAACUACGUG